UUUCCUUUAGGGACAUCGAAAAAAAAUGGGAAUGAUGCAUAGAAGAUUAGCAUCCUUUCUACACAAAAAAUGACACCCAUGAAUCGAGAAAUGAUCUAAAUUUAC
Malus domestica (apple) is the source of this 105-nucleotide small nuclear RNA. Lineage: Eukaryota; Viridiplantae; Streptophyta; Magnoliopsida; Rosales; Rosaceae. The record is from RefSeq and is a predicted model, not a curated record.